Melanotaenia boesemani (Boeseman's rainbowfish) is the source of this 4276-nucleotide long non-coding RNA. RefSeq lists it as uncharacterized. Lineage: Eukaryota; Metazoa; Chordata; Actinopteri; Atheriniformes; Melanotaeniidae. The record is from RefSeq and is a predicted model, not a curated record. The transcript is spliced from 2 exons.
AAGAAUUCAAACAAGAUGGGACAUCAUAAUUAAGUGGUAGUCAGACUGUUGUGAGUCUGUAAAGUCUUUAUUGACUUUAUUGUAGUUAGACAACCACACCUUUAGAUAUCUAACCAAAUUAGAAUAAGACAUUUUAGUGUCAGAACAAAGAAAAUGGAAACAAUUACACUUUUUUACUAAGCACAUCUUAAAAUAGGCCUAUCCAUGUUUGAUUAAUAUUUUCUAUUUGGAUCGAUGCCGUUGUAUGGUUGGUCAUUAAAUGGAUGAAUUGAUGUAUUGUUACACCCCCUAGUCUUUACUGAAAUUACCAGACUGUGUCAGUGCUUGUAUAUUCUAGGAUGCCACCCACAGAAUGGGACUCUCCUGUCAUAGGUGCUCUUUAUGUUUUGCAAUCAUGCUAAUUUGCCGUCUUGUAAAUCUUGGUCAUGUUCGUGCUUAGCUUCUUUUAGCCUGUUAAUGAAAUCGGGAUUUCAUGCAGGAUAGUUCUUAACUUUCUUCUCCAAAUUUGUUUCCUGAUUUAACCUGAAAAAAAAAUAAUAAGUAAUACUGAAAGAUGACAACAACUAUCACUUCUUAUGUUCUUAAAAAGCUCAAAUUAGUCAACUUGCUUAAAAAAAAUGUAAAAAAAAAGCCAGUGAGUCAAAGCUACAGAGGCUGAUAUGAGAUUGCUGGAUAUAUUCAGUAUCCAUGAAAUGUGCACAAAAUCAUAUUUUUCUGUAGUGUUUUAAUCAAGGUCUUCCAGGUGACAGUCUAUCCUGUUUCAUCCGCUCUUUGUUAAUUGAAAUGAAAUCAGAAGCGUUUCCUGUUGGUUGUACGUUGCUGCAGAUACUAUAACAUACUCCGUGAAGAUUUUUGACUUUAUAGUUUCUCAGUUUGAAGGUUUACGCUCUGGUUCUGGUGUGAAUGGCUGUGAGUGUCGUACUGUUUAGUUCUUCUUUUUUUUUUUGCAGUGGUCCUCGUGAGAUUGACCUGCAUGGCUUUAACAGCUGUGUUUGUGUUACAACUCACUUCCAUCGUGCUUCCUUUUCCAUCACUGUUUUCUAACCACUGAACUUUACUUUUGCACUUUAUCACUGAGUAGGCCAGACUAUGGGACUGGGUCAGGGCCAAGGCUCUCAAUAUAUGAAUGCAAAAUGCUGAUGCAAUAAAGAAAAUAGGGGCUAUUGUAAGGAAAAAAAACAGACUUCUGAAGUUGGCAAUGUGGUGGUUUGCAUGUUCUUCGAACAUAUAUUUAAAUCACACCAUCAGUUUUUAGAUGGGUUUUCUUUUGUUUUCCUAUGAGAAUUUACUGAGACCUGAAGCAUCCUUGAACUCAAUCCCAAAGUUAGUUCAGGGGAGACGUUUCAGAAAAAAACUGACAACAUAAAACAUGAUCAGUGACUGCCUGGUAGGUAGGUAAUUAAUCUGAUGGAAGUUUUUGACAAGGAGAGCUAUCACUGUGCUAAAUUACACAGUUUGAUCCCAUAGCUCCAGUAGAGCUGUGUGAUUUUUAUUUGCACAAUUUAAAGGGCAACUUUCCCCCCUUUGAAAAACAGUGGGAGAAUAUAACUUUACUGUUAGCAACAGUGACGCCAUGAAGCCAUGCAGUUUGUUUGAAUGCAUGUGUGUGUGGUGUUGAUUAAAGGAAAACAAACAGGAAAAUGUGUUUUUUUUAUUGGUUUUAAUACGUCUUCCAGAUGUGAAAAUUCUAAAUCUUGGUAGAUUCUGGGAAACCGUCUUGUCAGCCGCUGAUAUGAAACAAAAUCCCACAAACAGUUGCUUAAGACGAUCAACCAGUUCAACCCUGCAAAGCAAAACAAAACCAUUUUCCUAUUGAAAGAUCUUGUUGGCUGCCAACAAAGGAUCAGUCCCUACAGGAAAUUGUGACGUUGGGAUUAACGCAAAUUCAGCCAAUCCUUGGAAAUUUUGCACGUUCUUGGUUUUUUGUCCAAUCACCACAACUUUAAUGUAACUUUGGCAAAUCUCAGCAAUUAUCUGCAUUACCUGAAACACAUACGUCAUCAAAUUUACGUCCCCGUUGUGAUUAUUUACAUGCAGACAUGUGCAGGAUAAAUGUGUCGCAUGUGGCAUCUGAAAUAGUGCAUGGCACUUUCCCAGUAUUCAGGAAGGGGUUUUGCUUUGAUUUACGAACCGUCUUGCAUACAGAGACCCCAGCUCCUUGAAGCAGCCAGAGCAGCUUCGAAUCCCGACUGGUGGUUGGUUGCUGCAUGUCACGGCUUCUCUCUCUGACCCAUUUUCCCUCUCUAAUAAAGGUCCUAGAGCCUGAAAACGCUUUCCUAGUGUUGACCAUAAUAAGCUGUUUUGUACCAUGGCAACAUUGCGGUGGAAGAUAAACAAAAGUUAUCAACUCAAACAUUUUUGUACCACAAAACACCGCCAGAGAAGGUCUGAAAUGCACCAACAGAUAAAGAAAAUCACCAUGAAGAGUCAAUAUCAUCCAGACCUGCUGUAAAUGCCAAACAAAUAAGAAUAUUGGCAAGUUUUUUGUACAGUGUUUUGCACAUAAUAAAACACUUAGAAAAACCUUGCAACUUUUGCCAUAAAAUUUCACAAAAACUGCUGCAAAAUCAAGGAUUUUAGGUCACAGCAAUCACAAAAAAAGCCACGAAAUCCUAGAGGGACUGAAUUGUUAUAAAGCCUGGUUUUGUUAACCGGGACACCACAGAAGGAGGAAUCCAGGGUGGGAAGACGGCUUAACAAAACACUGGACUGUAGAAAUCUGUGAUUUUAACCCUGAAAAGUCCAUAAUUAUAACUGUGUUCUUAUUUAUAAGCAUGACAACCCUUCAGAUUCGGUUCCAAAAAACCAUCAAGGACCCAAAAACGUUUUAAAAGAGCACUUGCUGUCACUGACUGAGAGGAAUUCUUUGGCUGGAUUGUGUUUCAGUUCUACAUUCAAUAUGUUCCCUGAAACAGUGGUAAAAAGGUUUAGAUUUUUCUAUGAUACUUUGCAUCUAUUUGAAAGAGAUGGGAUGGAUGACAAAACCAAUAGCACGAAAAACAUGUAUGCUUUUCUCUUAUUAUAAUCCCCCAAAAAAUAGAAAAAAAAUUGAAAAGUAGUAAAGUUUUAUUGAACGUGUGACCGCUGCUAGCAUCACCCCAAAGCAGCGGGUCGGUGGAAUGCUGCUGUGACUUUCUCCAGAGAGCAAGUUGUGUUGAAAAGUCCAAAAAGAGACUAAAAUAUCUGUUUAGUGCAAUGAAAUCCAAACUGUUGCUUUCUUAGUGCGUAAAAGGGCUACACUACUUAAAUAUGCACCACUUGCUGAUUCAUUGCGCUUGUACAUGAGGCAUCCUCUCUCCUGACGAGGAAGCAGCCUUGGUUUGUUUUCAUGCUGCUUCACGCCGAGUUCAGGAGGCCCCGCCCAUUUUAUAUUUUGCAUAGUGUUACAGUACAACCACUUACAGAAUGUAUUAAGUGGACCAGCUGCUAACUUGAUUUUAUUUUGCUCCUUGGCAAAAUGAUUCACCUCCUGUACAAGAUUGUCACUGAUACAUGUCAAUGUUUGGUCCUGCACUGCCGGGAAGGCAGGGACACGUUCAGAUACUAACAGGCUGCAGAAAGCUCCCAGCGUGCUUCAUCUGCUGACAAACACCUAGAUUAAAAAGGUGAUCUGCAGCAUUUAUGUCUUAUCAAAAGACUGAUGACUGUCACCACUCUUUGCAUGAGAUCUACUGUUUGUAUGACACACACCUCUGACUGUAUAAUCACUAAAAUCAGCACUGUACUGUAAUUACAACGAGAACAAAGUGAAUAUAAACCUCUAAGUGAAAGAGGUCUGUGAUUUUUCUUCUUUUUUUUGUAAAUAAUUCAUAGUGCUACUUUAGGGGAUACUCACGGAUCAGAACUGUUGAGAACUUGGGACAAAGGACAAAAAGUGGCAUCCAAUUUCAUCUUUUUUCUACCGCAGCGUUAUUGUGAAUUACAGUGUUUAGUUUUUUAGUGGAAGAACCUGAGAUAGAUUAGAGUGUAAAGUAUCACAGGUUUUCUCCUCACAUUUCAUAUUCAGUGUCUCCUAAUUUAUUUUAUUUUUUCUGUUUUGUUUUGUUUUAAUCUAAUUUUUUGCCACUACAACAACCGUCCCAUCAGUCCUGACGGAUGAAAACGUGUCUGCUUCGUUGCAGAGACAGACUGUAGCAAACCAAUGUACCAAUGUGAACUUUUUUUAAAUGCUGUUACACAAAUUGUACCACCAUAAAUAUUGGAAGUGUUUCUUCCGGGUUGUACAUGACUCAAAACUGUUUGCAGGUUAAUGGCCCCAUUAAAAAGUGCAUUUUGA